This 29-nucleotide non-coding RNA is filed under the name Mus musculus (house mouse). Lineage: Eukaryota; Metazoa; Chordata; Mammalia; Rodentia; Muridae. The record is from RNAcentral.
GAUAACUUCAAUGUACCUUAGCUGAUGUG